GUGACUAGCAAUACUUGCUGGCCCUGGAAGUGGAAGGAGGAGCUCUCUCCCGGUAUCUGGAUAGAACUGGAUCUAUUCCUGAUUUUCUCAACUGUGUGCUCUCCCUGGAUUCCCGUGAUCAUGUCAUCAGACAGAAGGACUUAAGAGUUUGAGUGAAAGGCUUCAAGAAGUACAGGAAAAAAUGUGAAACUUCAAAUCAUGAAAGGACAUAAAGAUGCAAACAAUUGCAGCAGUAAAAUCCAAUGAGUCAGAGAGCAAUGAUGCCCUUUGCUAGUUUUCCAUGCUUUCUUUCAAACACAUACUCUCUCCCUACGUGUGGUCAUCUUCUUGUAAGGUAACACUGUGCUAUAUAAUUUUUAAAAGAAAGAUUUCUUUUAAAAUUGUCUUCUGAAUAAUGAAAGUAAAAAAGAAACAGUCUAAGGCUCAGCAAUGGUGGAUUUUUUUAAGUCUCAAAAGAACCCAAGGGAAAACCAAGAUUUAUUUACAUCAAAGGCAUCUCUUCACAAGAGGUCAGCUCUCUGUCCAGACAGAUCUCUCUUCCCAGGCUAGUAGUCUGGUAUUUGAGUAUAAUCUCCCCUAUAAUUGGAUAGAAAAACUGUGGGAACAGAUUUUUCAUGGGAAGUGCUGGAUAUAACUAAAGAAGAACCAAGUGAUUUCGCAGAUACUCAGAUUCUGAUAAGACCAGAAAAAUGUUCUCAGUAUUUUUCAGACCCAUCAGUAGAUAUGGUAUGUCAAAAUUUCAACAGGUGGUUGCUUGUAAACAUGAUCAACUUGCAUAAAAUAAUGAAGUAUGAUAAAAGACAAGAGAAAAUCUAUAUGACCACAACAAUGCAAAAGAGUACAAUACUAAAAGUCAGUACAACUGGUCAAACACAAUAACCAGUGUUAGUUUCAAAAUAUUGUAGUUGAAGUUUAUAAACUUCUUGCUAAUAAAUUACCAGAGUGGAAAAGGGUAUCUACCACUAAUUACAAUCACACUGAUUGAGUGGUUCCUGCUUACCUGUUUUUGGAGAAAUGUACUUGAAGGAUGGGUCAGAUGUUGAGAUGACUGUUGGAUAUAUUUGAUGAGUCAGAAUAUGAUUAUGGUUUUGUUUUCCAAAGAAGUUGUCAGUUCUAUGUUCUACAAACCUGCUUAUUACCAGUGGUGCAAACUCAGAUCAUUUUUAUCUAUGCAGUGAUAAAGUGUUGGUUCUGAAGAAAAAGUACUAGGCUAAGUACUGGGUUUGGUUCCCAGUUCUUCUACUGAAUGAUGGAGUGGCCUAAUGCAAGCCACUUUUCUCUGGGAAUCAUUGCUUACCUUGGAAAAUGAGGGACCAGAGCUAGAUAAAUCUUGUAGGACACAUCCAAUUCUGACAUGCUUUGUACUGGAUUCUACGGUUUCUUCUAUAUCUGACAUUCUAUAGGUUUAAGUUCUAUUUUACUGCUAAAAUUGUAUGUCCCAAUUUUCCUUCUGAUUCUCACAUUCUAUGUUUUAAGGACCUUUGAGCUUUUGUAUGCCAUGUGCUAAAGUCCUUUCAAGCUUCAAGUCUAAUUCUAAUUCAUUGUAAAUCUGGUCUAUUACUAUUACUAUGAUUAUGAGAGAUUAGUCAUCAAGCAGAUAAUCUAAUAACUGUUUUAAGGUUUCAAAGGUUUUAAGUUGUGUCCCUUAAGUGACUCUUGCUCCAUUAUGUUCAUCCUCAAGAUAUUAGACUGGUCUGAGUCCUGUUCCUGGAAUUACUCCUGUUUCUCUCUAGCUACCUCAUCUGGAUUCUAUCCAUCCGUCAGAGCUCAAUUCAAGGCAAAUAGAGUGGAGAGAGGAUUAGAAUUAGAAAAUCUGUGGUUCAAAUUCCAGCACUGCUAGCUAAAACCUGGCUAUGACCUUGGGUAUUAACAAAUAGCUGAAUUUUAUAUAAUGUUUUAAUGCUUGUAAAACACUUUACAUCUGUAACGUUAUCUGCCGCUCACAAUAAUCUUGUGAGGUAGAUGCCCUUAUUACCUUAGUUUUUAAAAUGAGGUAACUGAAGCUAAGAAUUGACUUUCCCAGCAUCAGUAACUGGCUGAGAUUUGAAUUCAAUUCUUCUUGAGCUCCAUCUAUUAUACCACCUAGCUGCCCUUUGACCUCUCUAGACUUUAUGCCUCUUUGUUUGGCCUUUCCUAGGCACUAAUCAAUUAUAUUCUGUCUUGUACUAAAUACUUCUUGGCCAACAUUUUAUAGAUGUGACAAAAUAGACAAGGAGUUAGUAGUUUACUGAUACCUUUUUGUCAUCUUUCCUUAUCUGGAAAUAAUACCAUAUGUGACUUUUUCUAAUCGGUGGGUCUCUUCCUUUUCAAAUAUUUUGAAUUUCGACUACAUCAAAUUAAAAAGCUUUUGUACAAACAAAACCAAUGUAACUAAAAUCAGAAGGGAAGCAACAAAUUGGGAAAAAAUCUUCAUAAAAACCUCUGACAAAGGUUUAAUUACUCAAAUUUACAAAGAGCUAAAUCAAUUGUACAAAAAAUCAAGCCAUUCUCUAAUUGAUAAAUGGGCAAGGGACAUGAAUAGGCAGUUUUCAGAUAAAGAAAUCAAAACUAUUAAUAAGCACAUGAAAAAGUGUUCUAAAUCUCUUAUAAUCAGAGAGAUGCAAAUCAAAACAACUCUGAGGUAUCACCUUACACCUAGCAGAUUGGUUAACAUGACAGCAAAGGAAAGUAAUGAAUGCUGGAGGGGAUGUGGCAAAGUAGGGACAUUAAUUCAUUGCUGGUGGAGUUGUGAAUUGAUCCAACCAUUCUGGAGAGCAAUUUGGAACUAUGCCCAAAGGGUGAUAAAAGACUGUCUGCCCUUUGAUCCAGCCAUAGCACUGCUGCAUUUGUACCCCAAAGAGAUAAUAAGGAAAAAGACUUGUACAAGAAUAUUCAUAGCUGCGCUCUUUGUGGUGGCCAAAAAUUGGAAAAUGAGGGGAUGCCCUUCAAUUGGAGAAUGGAUGAACAAAUUGUGGUAUAUGUUGGUGAUGAAAUACUAUUGUGCAAAAAGGAAUAAUAAAGUGAAGGAAUUUCAUGGAGACUGGAACAACCUCCAGGAAGUGAUGCAGAGUGAGAGGAGCAGAAGCAGGAGAACAUUGUACACAAAGACUGAUACACUGUGGUACAAUCGAACGUAAUAUACUUCUCCAUUAGUGUCAAUGUAAUGUCCCUGAGCAAUCUGCGGGGAUCUAGGGAAAAAAAACACUAUACACAAGCAGAGGACAAACUGUGGGAGUAAAAACACCGAUGAAAAGCAACUGCUUGACUACAGGGGUUGAGGGGACAUGUCUGAGGAGAGACUCUAAACGAACACUCUAAUGCAAAUGCCAACAACAUGGAAAUGGGUUCAAAUCAAGAACACAUGUGAUAGCCAGUGGAAUCACGCAUUGGCUAUGGGAGAGGUGGGGGGAGGGGAGGAAAAGAAAAUGAUCUUUGUCCCUAAUGAAUAAAGCUUGGGAAUGAUCAAAUAAAA
This is a long non-coding RNA of Monodelphis domestica (gray short-tailed opossum), 3451 nucleotides long. RefSeq lists it as uncharacterized. The record is from RefSeq and is a predicted model, not a curated record. Lineage: Eukaryota; Metazoa; Chordata; Mammalia; Didelphimorphia; Didelphidae.